Molecule: ribosomal RNA, 496 nt
Filed under: uncultured bacterium
Lineage: Bacteria
Description: partial 16S ribosomal RNA
Rfam family: Bacterial small subunit ribosomal RNA
Source: RNAcentral
AUGCACGCUGGCGGCGUGCCUAAUACCUGCAAGUCGCGCGAACAGACGAGGAGCUUGCUCCUCUGACGUUAGCGGCGGACGGGUGAGUAACACGUGGAUAACCUACCUAUAAGACUGGGAUAACUUCGGGAAACCGGAGCUAAUACCGGAUAAUAUAUUGAACCGCAUGGUUCAAUAGUGAAAGACGGUUUUGCUGUCACUUAUAGAUGGAUCCGCGCCGCAUUAGCUAGUUGGUAAGAUAACGGCUUACCAAGGCAACGAUGCGUAGCCGACCUGAGAGGGUGAUCGGCCACACUGGAACUGAGACACGGUCCAGACUCCUACGGGAGGCAGCAGUAGGGAAUCUUCCGCAAUGGGCGAAAGCCUGACGGAGCAACGCCGCGUGAGUGAUGAAGGUCUUCGGAUCGUAAAACUCUGUUAUUAGGGAAGAACAAAUGUGUAAGUAACUAUGCACGUCUUGACGGUACCUAAUCAGAAAGCCACGGCUAACUACGUG